UGGGGAAUAUUGCACAAUGGGCGCAAGCCUGAUGCAGCCAUGCCGCGUGUAUGAAGAAGGCCUUCGGGUUGUAAAGUACUUUCAGCGGGGAGGAAGGCGAUAAGGUUAAUAACCUUGUCGAUUGACGUUACCCGCAGAAGAAGCACCGGCUAACUCCGUGCCAGCAGCCGCGGUAAUACGGAGGGUGCAAGCGUUAAUCGGAAUUACUGGGCGUAAAGCGCACGCAGGCGGUCUGUCAAGUCGGAUGUGAAAUCCCCGGGCUCAACCUGGGAACUGCAUACGAAACUGGCAGGAUAGAGUCUUGUAGAGGGGGGUAGAAUUCUAGGUGUAGCGGUGAAAUGCGUACCGAUCUGGAGGAAUACCGGUGGCGAAGGCGGCCCCCUGGACAAAGACUGACGCUCAGGUGCGAAAGCGUGGGGAGCAAACA
Molecule: ribosomal RNA, 427 nt
Filed under: uncultured bacterium
Lineage: Bacteria
Description: partial 16S ribosomal RNA
Rfam family: Bacterial small subunit ribosomal RNA
Source: RNAcentral